CCGUUGAAAAAUAGCCGUUUAUCAACGCUCUCCGAAGGCGUUGAUCGGGGUUCGAUUCCCCGAUGGCUCACCA
RNAcentral lists this transfer RNA (73 nucleotides) under Caudoviricetes sp. RNAcentral describes it as "tRNA-OTHER". The record is from RNAcentral. Lineage: Duplodnaviria; Heunggongvirae; Uroviricota; Caudoviricetes.